Long non-coding RNA from Bufo bufo (common toad), 1405 nucleotides. RefSeq lists it as uncharacterized. The record is from RefSeq and is a predicted model, not a curated record. The transcript is spliced from 4 exons. Lineage: Eukaryota; Metazoa; Chordata; Amphibia; Anura; Bufonidae.
AAAACCUGAGCAAUAUGGUGGCUGAGAUACAUAAAAAGCAAUUCCCUAGUCAUCCGAUACUCCGGUAUGUGAUAAUCCAGUACCCGUCCAACCCCAGUGAUGUGAUGCUGUGGUCUGGUUUCGGGUCUGUAUUUGUUUGGGGUCUGAUCUGGGGUCUACAUUAGUUGAGGGGGUCUGUAUUAGCUGAGGGAGUCUGUAUUAGCUGAGGGGGCAUGUUUAUUAAAGGGGUCUGGUCUGGGGUCUGUUCUUGUUCAGUGCAUCUGAUCUGGGGUCUGGCCUGUUUUUCCAUAGGAUCUGAUCUAGGGUCUGUAUUAGUUUACGAGUGUUGUUUAGGGUGUCUGGUCUUUGGUCUACAUUAAUUAAGGGGUCUGUACAUUCAUUGGGGAGUCUAGUCUUUGGUAUAUACUUGUUUAGGGGUCUGCUUUUGUUUCGGGGAUCUGGUCAAGUCUUUAAUUUGCUUAGAGGGUCUAGACUUGUGGUCUGUAUUUGUUUACGGUGUCUGUCUUUGGUCUAUACAUGUUUAAGGGGUCUGGUAUGUGACCUGCAUGUGUUUAGGCAGUCUGUAUGCACAGUCAGGGGUCUGUUUUUGUUUAGGAGGUCUGUAUGUAUGGUCAGUGGUCUGUGUUUAGGGGGUCUGAAUGUAUUAUUUAGGGGGGUCUGGUAUGUGAUCUGCAUUUGUUUAGGAGGUCUGUAUGUAUGGUCAGGGGUCUGUAUUUGUUUAGGAGGUUCUGUAUAUAUGGUCACGAGUUUAUAUUUGUUUAUGGGGUCUGUAUGUAUGGUCAGAGGUCUGUAUUUGUUUCAGGGGUUCUGCAUUGGGUCUGUAGGUAUGGUCUGGGGUCUGUCUUUGUUUAGGGGGUCUGUAUGUAUGGUUAUGGGUCUGUAUUUGUUUCAGGGGUUCUGCAUUGGGUCUGUAGGUAUGGUCUGGGGUCUGUCUUUGUUUAGGGGGUCUGUAUGUAUGGUUAUGGGUCUGUAUUUGUUUAGGAGGUCUGUAUGUAUGGUUAGGGGUCUGUAUUUGUUUUGGAGGUCUGUAUUUAUGGUCAGGGGUCUGUAUUUCUUUAGUAGGUUCUGUAUGUAUGGCCAGGACUCUGUAUUUGUUUAGGAGGUCUGUAUUUGUUUCAGGGGGUCUGGAUUGGGUCUGUAGGUAUUGUCUGGAGUCUGUAGGUAUGGUUAGGGGUCUGUAUUUGUUUUGGAGGUCUGUAUUUAUGGUCAGGGGUCUGUAUUUCUUUAGUAGGUUCUGUAUGUAUUGCCAGGGGUCUGUAUUUGUUUAGGGGGUCUGUAUGUAUGGUCAGGGGUCUGUAUUUAUUUAGGAGGUCUGCAUGUAUGGUCAUUUGUGUAAUGUACUAGGCAGUAAGGUGUUUUGCGGCCUCUGGCAGCAGGUUGGGGGGCUCCUGUGACAUUUCUUGGG